Molecule: ribosomal RNA, 424 nt
Filed under: uncultured bacterium
Lineage: Bacteria
Description: bacterial SSU rRNA
Rfam family: Bacterial small subunit ribosomal RNA
Source: RNAcentral
UGAGGAAUAUUGGUCAAUGGGCGAGAGCCUGAACCAGCCAAGUAGCGUGAAGGAUGAAGGCCCUAUGGGUCGUAAACUUCUUUUAUAUGAGAAUAAAGUGAGGCACGUGUGCCUUUUUGUAUGUAUCAUAUGAAUAAGGACCGGCUAACUCCGUGCCAGCAGCCGCGGUAAUACGGAGGAUCCGAGCGUUAUCCGGAUUUAUUGGGUUUAAAGGGAGCGUAGGUGGAUAUAUAAGUCGGUUGUGAAAGUUUGCGGCUCAACCGUAAAAUUGCAGUUGAUACUGUAUAUCUUGAGUACAGUAGAGGUGGGCGGAAUUCGUGGUGUAGCGGUGAAAUGCUUAGAUAUCACGAAGAACUCCGAUUGCGAAGGCAGCUCACUGGACUGUCACUGACACUGAGGCUCGAAAGUGUGGGUAUCAAACAGG